RNAcentral lists this long non-coding RNA (910 nucleotides) under Lepisosteus oculatus (spotted gar). RNAcentral's name for it is "lncRNA (ENSLOCG00000021513.1)". The record is from RNAcentral. Lineage: Eukaryota; Metazoa; Chordata; Actinopteri; Semionotiformes; Lepisosteidae.
GAGGGAAUUAAGAGUUUAUUUAAAGAUCAUUGCUGUCAAAUACAUCUCAAUGACUUCUCUGAAAUAGUCAAACUAUUUUAACGGAAUUGGAAAUGCAGAAAAUCAAUAUAUUAUAUGUAUUAACAUGAAAUCCAUGGUUAUAAAUGUACACAGCCUCCUCAGAUGGAGUUUUCUCUCAAAGCACAUAAGUUUUUAAAGUAUGCAUACAGAUAUGAAAAAAUAAAAGAUCCAUUUUAGCCAAAUAGCUUCAGCGAUAUUGACCUUGCCACCACUUGAUGAAUUAAUGACAUAUUUCUUAAUGACAGAUUUGUGAAAGGAGUGGUCCUGCACCAGAACCCUUUGAAAUGCAUGAGAUCAGUUCAGAGGGCCAUCAAGACUUUGAAAGGACAGCAGAAAAAAAACAGGAUAGUCAGUCUGAUUACCAGGAAGGAGAGGAUGUCUGCUCAGCUUGUGGUAAUGUUUUCAGCUCUGAAGAAGCUCCCUAUUUAGAAGUAGUAUGUGCAGCAGACAGUACCCAGGGCCAGUUUGGACUGGAAGGAAUUGGUGUAGAAGGAGAAGAAAUAACAUCUCAAGCUGAGGCAAACUUUGAAAAACAAGGUUCUCUGAUUGCUGUUGCUUGGAGCAAACAAACAGAACAAUCUAUAGAUGACACGGUAAACUACAUGAAAUAGGUCUUUCCAGUAAAGCUAAUCAAAUGGUGUGUUAUUAACAGAGCUAAGCAUUCUUUCUUAGCAGUCUCCUUUUUAGCUAUUCAGGUGCCUGUGGCUGACAACAAAGUUUUUAAGAAAGUUUUUUAAAAAAUCUAAAUGUUCUGUUUUUUUUUUUUUCUGUGAUAAGGUAAAAUUAAUUCUAAAGCUAAAAGACUGUAAUGAACUACUGUAUACCAGCUCUCCUUUUUUACAGAACAAAC